CCGUGGGGCUUCGGCCCCGUCGAGAUAAUACCCUUGCCUUUUGUGAGUACCAACCGUUUCCUCGGCAGGCUCGCCUGCCAAUGGGGACCCCCUAACGCCCUGAAGUACCGGUAACUGUCUGAUAAAACAAACAAAAAGUCA
Molecule: unclassified non-coding RNA, 141 nt
Filed under: uncultured Ascomycota
Lineage: Eukaryota; Fungi; Ascomycota
Description: sequence contains ITS1
Source: RNAcentral